This is a long non-coding RNA of Gasterosteus aculeatus aculeatus (three-spined stickleback), 1012 nucleotides long. Lineage: Eukaryota; Metazoa; Chordata; Actinopteri; Perciformes; Gasterosteidae. The record is from Ensembl.
AUCAGUGUGUUGCACUGCUGGCACGUCCGUCACGUCGCGUUACGUAAACGUUACGUUACACGCGCAUUCAGUUCAAAUUCAACAACACUUGUAAACAGUGAUGAACUAUUAAUACAUGUGUUGGUUUUAGUUUUAGAAAAAAUUUAGAAAAGCCAACUACGUUUGAAAUAUCAUAACUUUUUUCACGAAUACAGGUGCAGUUCCCCUGUAGACACACGUGGGGGUGCUGUUCUGUCUUGUUGAUGGAGCAUUGAGCGACGAGAAGAAGACUGACGUACCGGCUUUAAAAAAAAGGCGCGGGCGCGGAUCAGAGACGGGUGACUAGUUGUUGAUGCAAUGACACCGAUGGAAGAACUUUUAAAACAUAUUAGGCGUUCAAAUACACACAAGAGCUGAAGGAAAAUUGUGAAAUGGACGCAGAAACGUGGUAUCCUGACGACGACGAUGAAGUGCGCAAAAUGCAACCGUCGCAUGCGUCUGGUGAAAUGCCAUGUCAAGGAUGGGCUGUGGUGGGUCUGUAAGCAUCAUAAAAGUUUCCCAAAGUCUGUACGUAAUGGCUCAAUAUUCACCAAGUCUCACAUCCCUCUGGCUUGAGUUCAUGCACAGAUUUGCCCAAGGUUUGCAGUUGAAGCAACUUGCACAAGGUGUGCAUUGCUGCUGUCAAGCGACUGAGGAAAAGAUGAGGAUUGGUGGUCGUCAUCGAUUUGUUGUUAUUGACAAGAGCAAAUUUGCCCACAAACGAAAGGCAGUGAGAGGACAGGCAAUGAUGCAGAGAGCACAGGGAGAGGAGAAACACCAGGUCCAAUAGAGAGAGGAGAAGAACAGAGGAAAACAUUCUGGGGUUCAUGGCUCCUCUGUGCAAAGCAGGACCUGACUUGGAGGACAAGGAGGCCCUCUGGGCACUACUGUAAAAAGGAGACUCCAUAUGUAGAUAGUUCUUAAUGUGCAAUUGUCUUGUUGUGUUGACAUACUUUUCUUCACUGUUUUCUUAGAUUUAAUAAACUACUAACAC